RNAcentral lists this transfer RNA (89 nucleotides) under Bacteroidetes bacterium CG12_big_fil_rev_8_21_14_0_65_60_17. Its description in RNAcentral is "tRNA-Leu". It matches the Rfam family "tRNA". Rfam says of the family: Transfer RNA (tRNA) molecules are approximately 80 nucleotides in length. Their secondary structure includes four short double-helical elements and three loops (D, anti-codon, and T loops). Further hydrogen bonds mediate the characteristic L-shaped molecular structure. tRNAs have two regions of fundamental functional importance: the anti-codon, which is responsible for specific mRNA codon recognition, and the 3' end, to which the tRNAs corresponding amino acid is attached (by aminoacyl-tRNA synthetases). tRNAs cope with the degeneracy of the genetic code in two manners: having more than one tRNA (with a specific anti-codon) for a particular amino acid; and 'wobble' base-pairing, i.e. permitting non-standard base-pairing at the 3rd anti-codon position. The record is from RNAcentral. Lineage: Bacteria; Pseudomonadati; Bacteroidota.
GCCGGGAUGGCGGAACAGGUAGACGCAACGGACUUAAAAUCCGUUGAACCGUAAGGUUCGUGCGGGUUCGAGCCCCGCUCCCGGUACCA